RNAcentral lists this ribosomal RNA (396 nucleotides) under uncultured Glomeromycotina. Its description in RNAcentral is "SSU rRNA". It matches the Rfam family "Eukaryotic small subunit ribosomal RNA", at positions 569 to 968 of the family's 1831-position model. Lineage: Eukaryota; Fungi; Glomeromycota. The record is from RNAcentral.
AGCAGCCGCGGUAAUUCCAGCUCCAAUAGCGUAUAUUAAAGUUGUUGCAGUUAAAAAGCUCGUAGUUGAAUUUCGGGGUCAGUAGGUUGGUCAUGCCUUCGGUAUGUACUGGUCUCACUGAUUCCUCCCUCUUGAAGAACUGUAAUGUCAUUAAUUUGGUGUUGCGGGGAAACAGGACUGUUACUUUGAAAAAAUUAGAGUGUUUAAAGCAGGCUCACGCUUGAAUACAUUAGCAUGGAAUAAUGAAAUAGGACGCUCGAUCCUAUUUUGUUGGUUUCUAGGAUUGACGUAAUGAUUAAUAGGGACAGUUGGGGGCAUUAGUAUUCAAUUGUCAGAGGUGAAAUUCUUGGAUUUAUUGAAGACUAACUACUGCGAAAGCAUUUGUCCAAGGAUGUU